GUGUGGCGUGAGCUGCGGGUCUGCAGGGGCCGGGCAGGGUGAGAGGAACCAAGGAUGAGCACCCCCCCUCCCCUUUGCUUGUCACUGCCCAUAUCCAGGCCUGGGAAGGUCCUGCCAGCCAGCGACACCCACACAGAUUACAGACUCCCACACAGAUUACAGACUCCUGGCAUGGCCACAAGAGAGUUCCCCAGUCUCUGCUGGCCUUGGCCUCCCUGGGACACCCGGCAGGCUUCCGAAGAACAACACAAAUUUGUCACCGAGGGUGAUUGAGAAAACUAUCCCGAACUCCUCAAAGCCAGCUGGACCCGGAUUUGAGACGACCUGCCCAGUGCCCACAACACACAUGUUAAGUCUGAUGUGACACACAUGUGCCAGGCCUCAGCCCCUCCUUGCAAGGCACAUGCUGCCACACAGCCAGCCAGCCUCCCCCAGGAGCCUCUGAGUGACGGCAGCCACUUCUCUGAAGCUGUAGCUGAGGCUGAUAUCUGGCUGGGGGUGGGGGAGGAUGUCACAGGACAGCUUGAUGGCUCUCUCCGUGGGGGAGGGGGAGUCAGGAUGAUUUCAACCGUACUUUAAGAGCCUACUUUUGGCUGAAACCUGGGGAUGUCACUCAGGGCCACAGCCCCUGACAUUCUGCCUUAGUCCCUGGGCAAGAAAUCUGGUUGUUGUACAGAAGCUGGUACAAGGAGUGAGAUAAUGAAUCCGAUCUACAUCAUUCCAUGUUAUGUGCAUUAUAUACAUAUAUGUAUUACAUAUACAUAUACUGUCAAGAAAUAAUCAUGUUGCCCAAUUAUAUUUUUUUGUAAAACAAAUUGUCUAUUUUUAACAACAAAUCACUCAAAACCAUUAACACUGGUUAUCUCAGGGUUGACAGUUUUCUUUUUUCACUUUAUAGAUUUCUCUACAAAACGGUGUGAAUAGAUUCCUUUUAUAAUUUAAAAAAAGACAACAAUAAAAUAUCUCUAAAAAGGAA
Long non-coding RNA from Homo sapiens (human), 976 nucleotides. RefSeq lists it as uncharacterized. The record is from RefSeq and is a predicted model, not a curated record. NCBI's taxonomy places the organism in Eukaryota, Metazoa, Chordata, Mammalia, Primates, Hominidae. The transcript has 3 exons.